GCAGAGGUUACUGCUAUCGAGGUUCGACUAAGCCAUGCGAGUCGAAUGUAGCAAUACAUGGCGAACUGCUCAGUAACACGUGGACAACCUGCCCUUAGGUUGGGUAUAAACCCGGGAAACUGGGUAUAAUACCCGAUAGGUCUCGAUUGCUGGAAUGCAUCGAGAUUUAAAGCUCCGGCGCCUAAGGAUGGGUCUGCGGCCUAUCAGGUAGUAGUGGGUGUAGCGUACCUACUAGCCUACGACGGGUACGGGUUGUGAGAGCAAGAGCCCGGAGAUGGAUUCUGAGACACGAAUCCAGGCCCUACGGGGUGCAGCAGGCGCGAAAACUUUACAAUGCUGGCAACAGCGAUAAGGGAACCUCGAGUGCCAGGUUACAAAUCUGGCUGUCGAGAUGCCUAAAAAGCAUUUCAUAGCAAGGGCCGGGCAAGACCGGUGCCAGCCGCCGCGGUAACACCGGCGGCUCGAGUGGUAACCGUUGUUAUUGGGUCUAAAGGGUCUGUAGCCGGCCGGAUAAGUUUCUUGAGAAAUCUGGCAGCUUAACUGUCAGGCUUUCAGGAGAUACUGUCUGGCUCGAGGCCGGGAGAGGUGAGAGGUACUUCAGGGGUAGGGGUGAAAUCUUGUAAUCCUUGAAGGACCACCAGUGGCGAAGGCGUCUCACCAGAACGGACCUGACGGCAAGGGACGAAAGCUAGGGGCACGAACCGGAUUAGAUACCCGGGUAGCCCUAGCCGUAAACGAUACUCGCUAGGUGUCGGCCACGGUGCGACCGUUGUCGGUGCCGUAGGGAAGCCGUGAAGCGAGCCACCUGGGAAGUACGGCCGCAAGGCUGAAACUUAAAGGAAUUGGCGGGGGAGCAC
This 857-nucleotide ribosomal RNA is filed under the name uncultured archaeon. RNAcentral describes it as "bacterial SSU rRNA". It matches the Rfam family "Archaeal small subunit ribosomal RNA", at positions 17 to 879 of the family's 1478-position model. The record is from RNAcentral.